AUUGAACGCUGGCGGAAUGCUUUACACAUGCAAGUCGAACGGCAGCACGGGGGCAACCCUGGUGGCGAGUGGCGAACGGGUGAGUAAUACAUCGGAACGUGCCCAGUCGUGGGGGAUAACGAAGCGAAAGUUACGCUAAUACCGCAUACGAUCUACGGAUGAAAGCGGGGGACCGUAAGGCCUCGCGCGAUUGGAGCGGCCGAUGUCAGAUUAGGUAGUUGGUGAGGUAAAGGCUCACCAAGCCGACGAUAUGUAGAUGGUCUGAGAGGAUGACCAGCCACGAUGGGACUGAGACACGGCCCAGACUCCGACGGGAGGCAGCAGUGGGGAAUUUUGGAAAAUGGGCGCAAGCCUGAACCAGCCAUUCCGCGUGCAGGACGAAGGCCUUCGGGUUGUAAACUGCUUUUGUACGGAACGAAAAGGCUCUGGUUAAUACCUGGGGCUCAUGACGGUACCGUAAGAAUAAGCACCGGCUAACUACGUGCCAGCAGCCGCCGUAA
Molecule: ribosomal RNA, 500 nt
Filed under: uncultured bacterium
Lineage: Bacteria
Description: partial 16S ribosomal RNA
Rfam family: Bacterial small subunit ribosomal RNA
Source: RNAcentral